AACACGUGAGCAAUCUGCCCUUGACUCUGGGAUAACUGCGGGAAACUGUAGCUAAUACCGGAUACUUUCCUCGGUGGGCAUCCACUGAGGAAGAAAGAAUUUCGGUCAAGGAUGAGCUCGCGGCCUAUCAGCUAGUUGGUGAGGUAAUGGCUCACCAAGGCGACGACGGGUAGCCGGCCUGAGAGGGUGACCGGCCACACUGGGACUGAGACACGGCCCAGACUCCUACGGGAGGCAGCAGUGGGGAAUAUUGCACAAUGGACGAAAGUCUGAUGCAGCAACGCCGCGUGAGGGACGAAGGCCUUCGGGUUGUAAACCUCUUUUAGCAGGGAAGAAGCGAAAGUGACGGUACCUGCAGAAAAAGCACCGGCUAACUACGUGCCAGCAGCCGCGGUAAUACGUAGGGUGCAAGCGUUGUCCGGAAUUAUUGGGCGUAAAGAGCUCGUAGGCGGUUUGUCGCGUCUGCUGUGAAAUUUCGAGGCUCAACCUCGAACUUGCAGUGGGUACGGGCAGGCUAGAGUGCAGUAGGGGAGAUGGGAAUUCCUGGUGUAGCGGUGGAAUGCGCAGAUAUCAGGAGGAACACCAAUGGCGAAGGCACAUCUCUGGGCUGUAACUGACGCUGAGGAGCGAAAGCGUGGGGAGCGAACAGGAUUAGAUACCCUGGUAGUCCACGCCGUAAACAGUGGGUGCUAGCUGUGGGCCACAUUCCACGUGGUCCGUGACGAAGUUAACACAUUAAGCACCCCGCCUGGGGAGUACGCCGCAAGCUAAACUCAAAGAAUUGACGGGGCCCGCACAAGC
This 801-nucleotide ribosomal RNA is filed under the name metagenome. RNAcentral describes it as "bacterial SSU rRNA". It matches the Rfam family "Bacterial small subunit ribosomal RNA", at positions 112 to 930 of the family's 1533-position model. The record is from RNAcentral.